AACUCCGGCCGGGAGGAUCAAAGGCGUAGGAGGAGUUUGUAUACCAAACCAUGUUGCCUUGGCGGCGCCGUACAGGCCCCAAAAACCGCCAGAGGACCUGAAACCCUAGCAUCUCUGCUGUCUGAGUCGCUAUAUAAUAGUUAAAACUUUCAACAACGGAUCUCUUGGUUCUGGCAUCGAUGAAGAACGCAGCGAAAUGCGAUAAGUAAUGUGAAUUGCAGAUAUCAGUGAAUCAUCGAAUCUUUGAACGCACAUUGCACCUCCUGGCAUUCCAGGAGGUAUGCCUGUUCGAGCGUCAUUACAACCCUCACGCACAGCGUGGUGUUGGGCUCGCCCUUGAGGGCCUGCCUCAAAUGCAGUGGCGGCACCGUAUAACCCCUAAGCGUAGUACUGCUCGUCGCUUGUGGGCGUUGGGCGGCGGCCUGUCAGGAACCCCUACAUCUUAUGGUUGACCUCGGAUCAGGUAGGGAUACCCGCUGAACUUAAGCAUAUCAAUAAGCGGAGGAA
Molecule: ribosomal RNA, 507 nt
Filed under: Therrya sp. CLH-2015b
Lineage: Eukaryota; Fungi; Ascomycota; Leotiomycetes; Rhytismatales; Rhytismataceae
Description: eukaryotic LSU rRNA
Rfam family: 5.8S ribosomal RNA (bases 145-298)
Source: RNAcentral